Non-coding RNA from Chiloscyllium plagiosum (whitespotted bambooshark), 358 nucleotides. The record is from RefSeq and is a predicted model, not a curated record. Lineage: Eukaryota; Metazoa; Chordata; Chondrichthyes; Orectolobiformes; Hemiscylliidae.
CUUUAUUCAUGAUUGAGUUCAAUCGAUUGCUAAUUUGGAACCUAACUAAUCCUUCUAAUGAGAACACAUCCAAGUCGGACAGCAGGCUGAUUGCAACUAAUGCAAAUUGACACUUCUUCAUCUGGAUCGUGCUGAGCUUUUGUCAUUUUCUGCAAGAAGGCACUGGAGACUUAUUCAUUCAAUGUUUCAGAACUUCGAAUCUACUCAUUGCCAACAACAGUUAUGAACAAGUCUGUCGCGGCAAGGAACAUUAUCAGAACUGCACUGCAGAGCAUCUAUCGAUUUUUGGAUUAAGGGUGAAAUCCACAACACGGAAUGUAUGACAUCUAAUGGAACAUGGAUCAAUAAAGAUUGGUGA